GAUGAACGCUGGCGGCGUGCCUAACACAUGCAAGUCGAACGCAGCAUUUCGGUGCUGAGUGGCGCACGGGUGCGGAACACGUAGCUCAUCUGCCCUCGAGUGGGGGAUAACGUGCCGAAAGGCAUGCUAAUACCGCAUACGCUCCUGUGGUGUAGCGCCAGAGGAGGAAAGAGGCAACUCGCUGGAGGAGGAGGCUGCGGCCCAUCAGGUAGUUGGUGUGGUAACGGCGCACCAAGCCGACGACGGGUCGGGGGUCUGAGAGGAUGACCCCCCACAC
Molecule: ribosomal RNA, 277 nt
Filed under: uncultured bacterium
Lineage: Bacteria
Description: partial 16S ribosomal RNA
Rfam family: Bacterial small subunit ribosomal RNA
Source: RNAcentral